UCUUUGAUAUGUAGAGGUAGAAUUAGUCCAGUUAAAGAGACGAGUUGGAUGUAAAUAUUGAUGUCGGAAUCUCAUCCUUUCUGAAAUUUCCUCCUUUUUCUGUCUCUGGGUGUUUAUUUCUCGUGGUUGCCGUCGAAAUAAUGGCAGCUGUUGUGUCUGUCCAGUUAGAGUCGGCGGCCUACCUCGUCUGCUUGACACACGCUCUGUCUACGGAGCGAGAAGAAGUUAUGGGACUCUUGCUUGGAGAGAUUGAUGAAAAGAAGGUUGCUCAUAUAUCUGCUGUGAUAAUGCUGAGAAGAUCUGACAAACAAGCUGACCGUGUUGAAAUUUCCCCUGAACAACUGUCGGCUGCAUCUAUCAAGGCAGAGGAAUUAGCCAUAGAACUUAAACAACCCCUCAGGGUACUCGGUUGGUACCAUUCACACCCACACAUCACAGUUUGGCCAUCUCAUGUUGACGUCCAAACUCAGGCCAUGUACCAAAUGAUGGAACCAGGCUUCAUUGGGCUCAUCUUUUCCGUUUUUAAUGAAGACAAAAACUCAAAGCAAAACAAAAUCCAAACAACUUGUUUUCAGUCCAGAAAGAGCAGUUUAUCUGAGAAUCAAUUUGAACGUAUUGAAAUUCCGCUCAACAUAGUGCCCAGUGGUAGCAUCGGUCAAGCCUGCCUAGAGUCUCUCGUAGAUCUGCCCAGAAUCAUAAGCCAGGAAGAAGAUGAAGCUUACCAAGGCCUGGCACAGAACUCUGAUAUGGAUCUCAUCACAAAGUUACACAAUGCCUCAGUGUAUAGCUGCAGCCUGGCUCUGAUCAUGGAAGUAUUGAUGGGACCUUUGAUGCAAACCCUGGAAGCAAGGCAUGAAAGAAAUUUGCUACGUAUCCAAGAACUCACCCAAAAACGGCGCCAACUCUUGAACCAGAUUGAAGCUGGGACAUGAACUCAUGAAGCGGAUUAGCAAGGCUUUAUUUUAUUUUAUUAUUUUUUUUGCAGCAAUCAGUUUUAUAUCCCUAUCUCCACACAACUCCAAAAUGUAUUUAACAGACCCCUAACCCUGUAAAGUAUUAAAGCAAAACUGCUUUGUCGUCAUGCCAUAAAAAAA
Molecule: RNA transcript, 1094 nt
Organism: Octopus sinensis (East Asian common octopus)
Lineage: Eukaryota; Metazoa; Mollusca; Cephalopoda; Octopoda; Octopodidae
Gene name: lys-63-specific deubiquitinase BRCC36
Exons: 8
Source: RefSeq, a predicted model, not a curated record